This 497-nucleotide ribosomal RNA is filed under the name uncultured bacterium. RNAcentral's name for it is "partial 16S ribosomal RNA". It matches the Rfam family "Bacterial small subunit ribosomal RNA", at positions 28 to 507 of the family's 1533-position model. The record is from RNAcentral.
GACGAACGCUGGCGGCGUGCCUAAUACAUGCAAGUUGAGCGAUGAAGCUUGGUGCUUGCACCAAUUUGAAGAGCAGCGAACGGGUGAGUAACGCGUGGGGAAUCUGCCUUUGAGCGGGGGACAACAUUUGGAAACGAAUGCUAAUACCGCAUAAUAACUUUAAACAUAAGUUUUAAGUUUGAAAGAUGCAAUUGCAUCACUCAAAGAUGAUCCCGCGUUGUAUUAGCUAGUUGGUGAGGUAAAGGCUCACCAAGGCGAUGAUACAUAGCCGACCUGAGAGGGUGAGCGGCCAGAUUGGGACUGAGACACGGCCCAAACUCCUACGGGAGGCAGCAGUAGGGAAUCGUCGGCAAGGGACGAAAGUCUGACCGAGCAACGCCGCGGGAGGGAAGAAGGUCGUCGGAUCGUAAAACACUGUUGGUAGAGAAGAACGUGGGUGAGAGUGGAAAGCACAUCAAGUGACGGUAACUACCCAGAAAGGGACGGCUAACUACGUG